UACGGGAGGCAGCAGUGGGGAAUAUUGCACAAUGGGCGCAAGCCUGAUGCAGCCAUGCCGCGUGUAUGAAGAAGGCCUUCGGGUUGUAAAGUACUUUCAGUCGUGAGGAAGGUGUUAAGGUUAAUAACCUUAGCAAUUGACGUUAGCGACAGAAGAAGCACCGGCUAACUCCGUGCCAGCAGCCGCGGUAAUACGGAGGGUGCGAGCGUUAAUCGGAAUUACUGGGCGUAAAAGGCACGCAGGCGGUUAAUUAAGUUGGAUGUGAAAUCCCCGGGCUUAACCUGGGAAUGGCAUUCAAGCUGGUUAGCUAGAGUCUUGUAGAGGGGGUAGAAUUCCAUGUGUAGCGGUGAAAUGCGUAGAGAUGUGGAGGAAUACCGGUGGCGAAGGCGGCCCCUGGGACAAAGGACUGACGCUCAUGUGCGAAAGCGUGGGGAGCGAAACAGGGAUUAGAUACC
This 455-nucleotide ribosomal RNA is filed under the name uncultured bacterium. RNAcentral describes it as "bacterial SSU rRNA". It matches the Rfam family "Bacterial small subunit ribosomal RNA", at positions 340 to 786 of the family's 1533-position model. The record is from RNAcentral.